RNAcentral lists this microRNA precursor (74 nucleotides) under Podarcis lilfordi (Lilford's wall lizard). Lineage: Eukaryota; Metazoa; Chordata; Lepidosauria; Squamata; Lacertidae. The record is from RNAcentral.
CCUCCUGAAACAAGUAAUCAAGAAUAGGCCGUGUUGCCUGGUAACAGCCUAUCCUGGAUUACUUGAACCAGGCC